GAACGCACAUUGCGCCCGCUAGUAUUCUGGCGGGCAUGCCUGUCCGAGCGUCAUUUCAACCCUCAAGCCCCUCCGGGGGCCUGGCGUUGGGGAUCGGCCCCGCUCCGGCGGCCGGCCCCGAAAUGUAGUGGCGGUCUCGCCGCUGCCUCCUCUGCGUAGUAGAAACACCUCGCAUUGGGACGCGGCGGGCCCACGCCGUUAACCAGAUGAAUUUUUUCAAGGUUGACCUCGGAUCAGGUAGGAAUACCCGCUGAACUUAAG
This 261-nucleotide unclassified non-coding RNA is filed under the name uncultured fungus. Its description in RNAcentral is "sequence contains 5.8S rRNA gene". The stretch from base 1 to 53 matches the Rfam family "5.8S ribosomal RNA", at positions 102 to 154 of the family's 154-position model. Lineage: Eukaryota; Fungi. The record is from RNAcentral.